This 28-nucleotide non-coding RNA is filed under the name Homo sapiens (human). Lineage: Eukaryota; Metazoa; Chordata; Mammalia; Primates; Hominidae. The record is from RNAcentral.
UGCUUACACUAAUCAGCGUGACCUGGAC